RNAcentral lists this unclassified non-coding RNA (223 nucleotides) under Hevea brasiliensis (rubber tree). Lineage: Eukaryota; Viridiplantae; Streptophyta; Magnoliopsida; Malpighiales; Euphorbiaceae. The record is from RNAcentral.
GAAGGUGUUCUUGUGAAUUGGGUGUGAAUCUUGUCUAUCCUCUUCAGUUAACGAUGCUACUGUAAAAUGAUACUACAUUAUUUUAUGAUGCAGCACUUAACCAUAAUUUACUUUAAAGACUUGAUCUACUUUAUAUAAACUUUUAUGAUUGUGUUUCAUGAUCACAUUUCCUUUAUUCAUUUCUAUUGUUUGUGAAAUAGGUGCUGCCCUGGUUGACAGAUAG